Molecule: ribosomal RNA, 1139 nt
Filed under: Bacillus sp. YB140
Lineage: Bacteria; Bacillati; Bacillota; Bacilli; Caryophanales; Bacillaceae
Description: bacterial SSU rRNA
Rfam family: Bacterial small subunit ribosomal RNA
Source: RNAcentral
CCAAUGCGGGCAUGCUAUACAUGCAAGUCGAGCGGACCUCUUCGGAGAGUCAGCGGCGGACGGGUGAGUAACACGUGGGCAACCUGCCUGUAAGACUGGGAUAACUCCGGGAAACCGGAGCUAAUACCGGAUACUAUGUCAAACCGCAUGGUUUGACAUUCAAAGACGGUUUCGGCUGUCACUUACAGAUGGGCCCGCGGCGCAUUAGCUAGUUGGUGAGGUAAUGGCUCACCAAGGCGACGAUGCGUAGCCGACCUGAGAGGGUGAUCGGCCACACUGGGACUGAGACACGGCCCAGACUCCUACGGGAGGCAGCAGUAGGGAAUCUUCCGCAAUGGACGAAAGUCUGACGGAGCAACGCCGCGUGAGUGAUGAAGGUUUUCGGAUCGUAAAACUCUGUUGUCAGGGAAGAACAAGUGCCGGAGUAACUGCCGGCACCUUGACGGUACCUGACCAGAAAGCCACGGCUAACUACGUGCCAGCAGCCGCGGUAAUACGUAGGUGGCAAGCGUUGUCCGGAAUUAUUGGGCGUAAAGCGCGCGCAGGCGGUUUCUUAAGUCUGAUGUGAAAGCCCCCGGCUCAACCGGGGAGGGUCAUUGGAAACUGGGAAACUUGAGUGCAGAAGAGGAGAGUGGAAUUCCACGUGUAGCGGUGAAAUGCGUAGAGAUGUGGAGGAACACCAGUGGCGAAGGCGACUCUCUGGUCUGUAACUGACGCUGAGGCGCGAAAGCGUGGGGAGCGAACAGGAUUAGAUACCCUGGUAGUCCACGCCGUAAACGAUGAGUGCUAAGUGUUAGAGGGUUUCCGCCCUUUAGUGCUGCAGCUAACGCAUUAAGCACUCCGCCUGGGGAGUACGGUCGCAAGACUGAAACUCAAAGGAAUUGACGGGGGCCCGCACAAGCGGUGGAGCAUGUGGUUUAAUUCGAAGCAACGCGAAGAACCUUACCAGGUCUUGACAUCCUUUGCCACUUCUAGAGAUAGAAGUUCCCCUUCUGGGGACAAAGUGACAGUGGUGCAUGGUUGUCGUCAGCUCGUGUCGUGAGAUGUUGGGUAAGUCCCGCACGAGCGCACCCUUGAUCUAGUGCAGCAUCAGUGGGCACUCUAAGGUGACUGCGGUGACAACCGGAAGAAAGUUGCAU